UCGGAUAUGGUGUAAUGGCUAACAUUGCCGCCUCUCAUCAAAUUCAGGAUAUGGACCGAUUUCCGCGGCAGCUCGGGGUUCGAUUCCCCGUAUCCGAA
This is a non-coding RNA of Termitomyces sp. T159_Od127, 98 nucleotides long. The record is from the annotation of a GenBank genome assembly. NCBI's taxonomy places the organism in Eukaryota, Fungi, Basidiomycota, Agaricomycetes, Agaricales, Lyophyllaceae.